GGCGAUCAGAUACCGCCCUAGUUCUGACCGUAAACGAUGCCAACUAGCGAUCCGCCAGUCGACUCAUCGCUCUGGUGGGGAGCUUCCCGGAAACGAAAGUCUUCCGGUUCCGAGGGAAGUAUGGUUGCAAAGCUGAAACUUAAAGGAAUUGACGGAAGGGCACCACCAGGAGUGGAGCCUGCGGCUUAAUUUGACUCAACACGGGGAAACUCACCCGGCCCGGACACCGUAAGGAUUGACAGAUUGAUAGCUUUUUCAUGAUUCGGUGGAUGGUGGUGCAUGGCCGUUCUUAGUUCGUGGAGCGAUUUGUCUGGUUUAUUCCGAUAACGAGCGAGACUCUGGCCUACUAAAUAGUUGACACAUUGCCACUGUGCGCACAACUUCUUAGAGGGAUUUUCGGUGUUUUCAACCGCACGAAAUUGAGCAAUAACAGGUCUGUGAUGCCCUUAGAUGUCCGGGGCUGCACGCGCGCUACACUGGCAAACGCAACGUGCCUGUCCUGCCCCGAAAGAAGCGGGUAAACCCCUGAAAUUUUGCCGUGAUUGGGAUCGGACAUUGCAACUAUUGUCCGUGAACGAGGAAUUCCUUGUAGGGGCGAGUCAUCAACUCGUCCCGAAUACGUCCCUGCCCUUGUA
This 635-nucleotide ribosomal RNA is filed under the name Rotylenchulus reniformis. Its description in RNAcentral is "SSU rRNA". It matches the Rfam family "Eukaryotic small subunit ribosomal RNA", at positions 1003 to 1664 of the family's 1831-position model. Lineage: Eukaryota; Metazoa; Nematoda; Chromadorea; Rhabditida; Hoplolaimidae. The record is from RNAcentral.